UAGGGAAUCUUCCACAAUGGACGAAAGUCUGAUGGAGCAACGCCGCGUGAGUGAAGAAGGGUUUCGGCUCGUAGAACUCUGUUGUUAAAGAAGAACAUAUCUGAGAGUAACUGUUCAGGUAUUGACGGUAUUUAACCAGAAAGCCACGGCUAACUACGUGCCGG
Molecule: ribosomal RNA, 164 nt
Filed under: uncultured bacterium
Lineage: Bacteria
Description: partial 16S rRNA
Rfam family: Bacterial small subunit ribosomal RNA
Source: RNAcentral